RNAcentral lists this ribosomal RNA (468 nucleotides) under uncultured bacterium. RNAcentral describes it as "partial 16S ribosomal RNA". It matches the Rfam family "Bacterial small subunit ribosomal RNA", at positions 28 to 507 of the family's 1533-position model. The record is from RNAcentral.
GAUGAACGCUGGCGGCGUGCUUAACACAUGCAAGUCGAACGGACAGGCCCGGCUUUUGUGCGGUGGUCGAGUGGCGAAGGGGGGAGUAACACGUGAGUAACCGGCACCUAACUGAGGGGUAACUUCAUGAAACAGGGGCUAAUACCGAAUAGGAGAUUUUGCUGCAGGGGGGGGGUCGGAAAGUUAGGGCGGUGGUGGAUGGAAUCGCGGCUUAUGCGCUUGUUAGUGGGGUAGUGGCUUACAAGGCCUGAGACGGGUAGCCUGCCUGAGAGGGCAACCGGCCACACUGUGACUGAGAUACGCCGCAGACUCCUACGGGAGGCAGCAGUGGGGAGUAUUGCACAAUAGGGGCGAGCGUGUUACGGAGCCGCCCCGUGCGGGAUAACGGGCUUCGGGGGGUGAACAGCUUUCUCCUGAGACGAAGAGUGAGUGACGGUAACUAAUAAAGAAGCACCGGCUAACUACGUG